AUGGCGUCGACCUCGAGCUUGGAUUUGGGAAAGAUCGUGCCGACGGCCGGCUACCUCCUCCACCGCUGCGCCGCCGUCCCCAGCGCCCCUGUUCUCCGGGGGAGGAGCGCGAGCGGGCGGUGCGGCCUCGCCGUCUCGGUCUCGUCCUCCAAUGGUGCAGCUGGGCUCUCCCCACUGAGUGACUCGGAGAAGAAAUGCCCUGUGGUGAUGGAGAUCCCACUGGAAGAUAGCUGGAGGCCGCUAAUGUGA
RNAcentral lists this ribosomal RNA (249 nucleotides) under Triticum aestivum (bread wheat). RNAcentral describes it as "partial small subunit ribosomal RNA". Lineage: Eukaryota; Viridiplantae; Streptophyta; Magnoliopsida; Poales; Poaceae. The record is from RNAcentral.